RNAcentral lists this ribosomal RNA (1963 nucleotides) under Vibrio cholerae. RNAcentral's name for it is "bacterial LSU rRNA". It matches the Rfam family "Bacterial large subunit ribosomal RNA", at positions 1 to 1999 of the family's 2925-position model. Lineage: Bacteria; Pseudomonadati; Pseudomonadota; Gammaproteobacteria; Vibrionales; Vibrionaceae. The record is from RNAcentral.
GUUGUAUGGUUAAGUGACUAAGCGUACACGGUGGAUGCCUGGGCAGUCAGAGGCGAUGAAGGACGUACUAACUUGCGAUAAGCGCAGAUAAGGCAGUAAGAGCCGUUUGAGUCUGCGAUUUCCGAAUGGGGAAACCCAACUGCAUAAGCAGUUACUGUUAACUGAAUACAUAGGUUAACAGAGCAAACCGGGGGAACUGAAACAUCUAAGUACCCCGAGGAGAAGAAAUCAACCGAGAUUCCGGUAGUAGCGGCGAGCGAACCUGGAUUAGCCCUUAAGCACUCGGUGAAGUAGGUGAACAAGCUGGAAAGCUUGGCGAUACAGGGUGAUAGCCCCGUAACCGACGCUUCAUCGAGCGUGAAAUCGAGUAGGGCGGGACACGUGAUAUCCUGUCUGAAUAUGGGGGGACCAUCCUCCAAGGCUAAAUACUCCUGACUGACCGAUAGUGAACCAGUACCGUGAGGGAAAGGCGAAAAGAACCCCUGUGAGGGGAGUGAAAUAGAACCUGAAACCGUGUACGUACAAGCAGUAGGAGCACCUUCGUGGUGUGACUGCGUACCUUUUGUAUAAUGGGUCAGCGACUUAUAUUCAGUGGCAAGGUUAACCGUAUAGGGGAGCCGUAGCGAAAGCGAGUCUUAACUGGGCGCUCAGUCUCUGGAUAUAGACCCGAAACCGGGUGAUCUAGCCAUGGGCAGGUUGAAGGUUGAGUAACAUCAACUGGAGGACCGAACCGACUAAUGUUGAAAAAUUAGCGGAUGACUUGUGGCUAGGGGUGAAAGGCCAAUCAAACUCGGAGAUAGCUGGUUCUCCCCGAAAGCUAUUUAGGUAGCGCCUCGGACGAAUACUACUGGGGGUAGAGCACUGUUAAGGCUAGGGGGUCAUCCCGACUUACCAACCCUUUGCAAACUCCGAAUACCAGUAAGUACUAUCCGGGAGACACACGGCGGGUGCUAACGUCCGUCGUGGAGAGGGAAACAACCCAGACCGCCAGCUAAGGUCCCAAAGUAUUGCUAAGUGGGAAACGAUGUGGGAAGGCUCAGACAGCUAGGAUGUUGGCUUAGAAGCAGCCAUCAUUUAAAGAAAGCGUAAUAGCUCACUAGUCGAGUCGGCCUGCGCGGAAGAUGUAACGGGGCUAAGCAAUACACCGAAGCUGCGGCAAUGUCUUUUAGACAUUGGGUAGGGGAGCGUUCUGUAAGCCGUUGAAGGUGAAUCGUAAGGUUUGCUGGAGGUAUCAGAAGUGCGAAUGCUGACAUGAGUAACGACAAAGGGGGUGAAAAACCUCCUCGCCGGAAGACCAAGGGUUCCUGUCCAACGUUAAUCGGGGCAGGGUGAGUCGACCCCUAAGGUGAGGCCGAAAGGCGUAAUCGAUGGGAAACGGGUUAAUAUUCCCGUACUUCUGACUAUUGCGAUGGGGGGACGGAGAAGGCUAGGUGGGCCAGGCGACGGUUGUCCUGGUUCAAGUGCGUAGGCUUGAGAGUUAGGUAAAUCCGGCUCUCUCUAAGGCUGAGACACGACGUCGAGCUACUACGGUAGUGAAGUCAUUGAUGCCAUGCUUCCAGGAAAAGCCUCUAAGCUUCAGAUAGUCAGGAAUCGUACCCCAAACCGACACAGGUGGUCGGGUAGAGAAUACCAAGGCGCUUGAGAGAACUCGGGUGAAGGAACUAGGCAAAAUGGUACCGUAACUUCGGGAGAAGGUACGCUCUUGAUGGUGAAGUCCCUCGCGGAUGGAGCUGACGAGAGUCGCAGAUACCAGGUGGCUGCAACUGUUUAUUAAAAACACAGCACUGUGCAAAAUCGCAAGAUGACGUAUACGGUGUGACGCCUGCCCGGUGCCGGAAGGUUAAUUGAUGGGGUUAGCGCAAGCGAAGCUCUUGAUCGAAGCCCCGGUAAACGGCGGCCGUAACUAUAACGGUCCUAAGGUAGCGAAAUUCCUUGUCGGGUAAGUUCCGACCUGCACGAAUGG